GUGUUGGUAGUACCUCUUGGUUUAGCAGGAUCGAACUUUAAAGUUCAAGAUAUUGAAGAGUCGCCUAGGAGGGGAUUCCGGAAGGCACUAAUUAUGUUAGUUUUAUGCUUCAAUUCUGUAUAUCAUAUUCAUUUAUGCUUUUAUUUUGGCUUGUAAUAUUUUGUAAAUUCUAUAUGAAAGAUAUUUGGGGGAUCGUCUGGGG
RNAcentral lists this long non-coding RNA (202 nucleotides) under Solanum tuberosum (potato). RNAcentral's name for it is "long non-coding RNA (STUB_LNC000039)". Lineage: Eukaryota; Viridiplantae; Streptophyta; Magnoliopsida; Solanales; Solanaceae. The record is from RNAcentral.